Molecule: ribosomal RNA, 3028 nt
Filed under: Salmonella enterica subsp. enterica serovar Brandenburg
Lineage: Bacteria; Pseudomonadati; Pseudomonadota; Gammaproteobacteria; Enterobacterales; Enterobacteriaceae
Also listed under: 1 other name
Description: 23S ribosomal RNA
Rfam family: Bacterial large subunit ribosomal RNA
Source: RNAcentral
GGGUUGUGAGGUUAAGCGACUAAGCGUACACGGUGGAUGCCCUGGCAGUCAGAGGCGAUGAAGGGCGUGCUAAUCUGCGAUAAGCGCCGGUAAGGUGAUAUGAACCGUUAUAACCGGCGAUACCCGAAUGGGGAAACCCAGUGUGACUCGUCACACUAUCAUUAACUGAAUCCAUAGGUUAAUGAGGCGAACCGGGGGAACUGAAACAUCUAAGUACCCCGAGGAAAAGAAAUCAACCGAGAUUCCCCCAGUAGCGGCGAGCGAACGGGGAGGAGCCCAGAGCCUGAAUCAGCAUGUGUGUUAGUGGAAGCGUCUGGAAAGGCGCGCGAUACAGGGUGACAGCCCCGUACACAAAAGCGCAUGUGCUGUGAGCUCGAUGAGUAGGGCGGGACACGUGGUAUCCUGUCUGAAUAUGGGGGGACCAUCCUCCAAGGCUAAAUACUCCUGACUGACCGAUAGUGAACCAGUACCGUGAGGGAAAGGCGAAAAGAACCCCGGCGAGGGGAGUGAAAAAGAACCUGAAACCGUGUACGUACAAGCAGUGGGAGCCCCACCACUAAGCCAGUGGUGAACUCCACAUACGCAUCCUUUGCUGAGGAUACGGUUAACGGAGCGAAAGCGACGUUCAACCGCAAAAGAAGCAGAGGGGGCUUAGUGGUGGGGUGACUGCGUACCUUUUGUAUAAUGGGUCAGCGACUUAUAUUCUGUAGCAAGGUUAACCGUAUAGGGGAGCCGGAGGGAAACCGAGUCUUAAUUGGGCGUUAAGUUGCAGGGUAUAGACCCGAAACCCGGUGAUCUAGCCAUGGGCAGGUUGAAGGUUGGGUAACACUAACUGGAGGACCGAACCGACUAAUGUUGAAAAAUUAGCGGAUGACCUGUGGCUGGGGGUGAAAGGCCAAUCAAACCGGGAGAUAGCUGGUUCUCCCCGAAAGCUAUUUAGGUAGCGCCUCGUGAAUUCAUCUCCGGGGGUAGAGCACUGUUUCGGCUAGGGGGCCAUCCCGGCUUACCAACCCGAUGCAAACUGCGAAUACCGGAGAAUGUUAUCACGGGAGACACACGGCGGGUGCUAACGUCCGUCGUGAAGAGGGAAACAACCCAGACCGCCAGCUAAGGUCCCAAAGUCAUGGUUAAGUGGGAAACGAUGUGGGAAGGCCCAGACAGCCAGGAUGUUGGCUUAGAAGCAGCCAUCAUUUAAAGAAAGCGUAAUAGCUCACUGGUCGAGUCGGCCUGCGCGGAAGAUGUAACGGGGCUAAACCAUGCACCGAAGCUGCGGCAGCGACACUCAGGUGUUGUUGGGUAGGGGAGCGUUCUGUAAGCCUGUGAAGGUGGCCUGUGAGGGUUGCUGGAGGUAUCAGAAGUGCGAAUGCUGACAUAAGUAACGAUAAAGCGGGUGAAAAGCCCGCUCGCCGGAAGACCAAGGGUUCCUGUCCAACGUUAAUCGGGGCAGGGUGAGUCGACCCCUAAGGCGAGGCCGAAAGGCGUAGUCGAUGGGAAACGGGUUAAUAUUCCCGUACUUGGUGUUACUGCGAAGGGGGGACGGAGAAGGCUAUGUUGGCCGGGCGACGGUUGUCCCGGUUUAAGCGUGUAGGUGUGUGUUCCAGGUAAAUCCGGUUCACUUUAACACUGAGGCGUGACGACGAGGCACUACGGUGCUGAAGCAACAAAUGCCCUGCUUCCAGGAAAAGCCUCUAAGCAUCAGGUAACAUCAAAUCGUACCCCAAACCGACACAGGUGGUCAGGUAGAGAAUACCAAGGCGCUUGAGAGAACUCGGGUGAAGGAACUAGGCAAAAUGGUGCCGUAACUUCGGGAGAAGGCACGCUGACAUGUAGGUGAAGUGAUUUACUCAUGGAGCUGAAGUCAGUCGAAGAUACCAGCUGGCUGCAACUGUUUAUUAAAAACACAGCACUGUGCAAACACGAAAGUGGACGUAUACGGUGUGACGCCUGCCCGGUGCCGGAAGGUUAAUUGAUGGGGUCAGCGCAAGCGAAGCUCCUGAUCGAAGCCCCGGUAAACGGCGGCCGUAACUAUAACGGUCCUAAGGUAGCGAAAUUCCUUGUCGGGUAAGUUCCGACCUGCACGAAUGGCGUAAUGAUGGCCAGGCUGUCUCCACCCGAGACUCAGUGAAAUUGAACUCGCUGUGAAGAUGCAGUGUACCCGCGGCAAGACGGAAAGACCCCGUGAACCUUUACUAUAGCUUGACACUGAACAUUGAGCCUUGAUGUGUAGGAUAGGUGGGAGGCUUUGAAGUGUGGACGCCAGUCUGCAUGGAGCCGACCUUGAAAUACCACCCUUUAAUGUUUGAUGUUCUAACGUGGACCCGUGAUCCGGGUUGCGGACAGUGUCUGGUGGGUAGUUUGACUGGGGCGGUCUCCUCCUAAAGAGUAACGGAGGAGCACGAAGGUUGGCUAAUCCUGGUCGGACAUCAGGAGGUUAGUGCAAUGGCAUAAGCCAGCUUGACUGCGAGCGUGACGGCGCGAGCAGGUGCGAAAGCAGGUCAUAGUGAUCCGGUGGUUCUGAAUGGAAGGGCCAUCGCUCAACGGAUAAAAGGUACUCCGGGGAUAACAGGCUGAUACCGCCCAAGAGUUCAUAUCGACGGCGGUGUUUGGCACCUCGAUGUCGGCUCAUCACAUCCUGGGGCUGAAGUAGGUCCCAAGGGUAUGGCUGUUCGCCAUUUAAAGUGGUACGCGAGCUGGGUUUAGAACGUCGUGAGACAGUUCGGUCCCUAUCUGCCGUGGGCGCUGGAGAACUGAGGGGGGCUGCUCCUAGUACGAGAGGACCGGAGUGGACGCAUCACUGGUGUUCGGGUUGUCAUGCCAAUGGCACUGCCCGGUAGCUAAAUGCGGAAGAGAUAAGUGCUGAAAGCAUCUAAGCACGAAACUUGCCCCGAGAUGAGUUCUCCCUGAGACUUUAGGUCUCCUGAAGGAACGUUGAAGACGACGACGUUGAUAGGCCGGGUGUGUAAGCGCAGCGAUGCGUUGAGCUAACCGGUACUAAUGAACCGUGAGGCUUAACCUUACAACGCCGAAG